Molecule: ribosomal RNA, 326 nt
Filed under: uncultured eukaryote
Lineage: Eukaryota
Description: partial 18S ribosomal RNA
Rfam family: Eukaryotic small subunit ribosomal RNA
Source: RNAcentral
CCCUUAGAUGUUCUGGGCCGCACGCGCGCUACACUGAUGCAUUCAACAAGCCUAGCCUUGACCGAGAGGUCCGGGUAAUCUUUGAAACUGCAUCGUGAUGGGGCUAGAUUAUUGCAAUUAUUAAUCUUCAACGAGGAAUGCCUAGUAAGCGUGAUUCAUCAAAUCGCGUUGAUUACGUCCCUGCCCUUUGUACACACCGCCCGUCGCUCCUACCGAUUGAAUGAGUUGGUGAGGAGCUCGGAUUGGCAGCAGUUGGUGGUUCGCCACCGGCUAUUGCUGAGAAGUCCUCCAAACCGCCCCAUUUAGAGGAAGGAGAAGUCGUAACA